This 497-nucleotide ribosomal RNA is filed under the name uncultured bacterium. RNAcentral's name for it is "partial 16S ribosomal RNA". It matches the Rfam family "Bacterial small subunit ribosomal RNA", at positions 28 to 507 of the family's 1533-position model. The record is from RNAcentral.
GAUGAACGAUGGCGGCGUGCCUAAUACAUGCAAGUCGAGCGAACAGAUGAGGAGCUUGCUCCUCUGACGUUAGCGGCGGACGGGUGAGUAACACGUGGAUAACCUACCUAGAAGACUGGGAUAACUUCGGGAAACCGGAGCUAAUACCGGAUAAUAUAUUGAACCGCAUGGUUCAAUAGUGAAAGACGGUUUUGCUGUCACUUAUAGAUGGAUCCGCGCCGCAUUAGCUAGUUGGUAAGGUAACGGCUUACCAAGGCAACGAUGCGUAGCCGACCUGAGAGGGUGAUCGGCCACACUGGAACUGAGACACGGUCCAGACUCCUACGGGAGGCAGCAGUAGGGAAUCUUCCGCAAUGGGCGAAAGCCUGACGGAGCAACGCCGCGUGAGUGAUGAAGGUCUUCGGAUCGUAAAACUCUGUUAUUAGGGAAGAACAAAUGUGUAAGUAACUAUGCACGUCUUGACGGUACCUAAUCAGAAAGCCACGGCUAACUACGUG